Acanthochromis polyacanthus (spiny chromis) is the source of this 1221-nucleotide long non-coding RNA. RefSeq lists it as uncharacterized. The transcript is spliced from 2 exons. NCBI's taxonomy places the organism in Eukaryota, Metazoa, Chordata, Actinopteri, Pomacentridae. The record is from RefSeq and is a predicted model, not a curated record.
UAGCGCCGCUGCCUGGUGACGCUGCGGGAUGAUUGGUUCCUCCCAGUUCCAGAUGAUUCAUGAAGACGCCCACGUUUACUACAGCUGGUUCUCCUCUGCAGCUCCAGGAGCACAGUGGUUUGAUAUGAAGUCAUUUUAAAAACAUGGAUCUGCAGCUUUUAUUUGUUCUAAAGUUUGUUCCUGUUCUCCCCAGUUUAACCUCACCGGACCAGAUGAGGCAGAUGUCUGACCUCCCCAAGCCUGGUUCUACUAGAGUCUUCCGGCAGACACUAACCUUCAGGGAACAUUCACUGAAGAGGUGCAGCAAAUGUUCCCCAGACAUUCAGCAAAAGCUCACGGAAUGUUCCCUGAAGGUAAUAGUGGUUAUUAGAAUGUUCUCUGAAGGUUGUUGUUGUUCCUACAAUGUUUCCUUGAGGUUACUGUUGUUAUUAGAAAGUUCCCUUAAGGUUACUGAUGUUCCUACAAUAUUCCCUCAAGGUGAUUGUUAUCAGAAUGUUCCCUGAAGGUUAUUGUUGUUCCUACAAUGUUCCCUUAAGAUUUCUGUUUUUCCUACAAUAUUCCCUUAAGGUUACCGUUGUUAUUAGAAUGUUCCCUGAAGGUUCUUGUUGUUCCUAUGAUUUUCUCCAAAGGUUAUUUUUGUUCCUACGAUGUUCUCCAAAGGUUACUGUUGUUCCUAGAAUGUUCCCUAAUGGUUCAACAAUAGUUUCCAAAGUGUGUUCACUAUUGUACAUUCUCUGAAUGUUCUGCUGAAUGCCACUGAAUGUUUUCUGAAAGCUCUAUACAAGGGAACUUCAGGGAACAUUCAAUAAAGAGAUGCAGCAGAUGUUCCCCAGAUCUUCAUGGAAUGUUCCUUGAAAGCACUGUUGUUCCUAGAAUGUUUCCUGAACGUUCUAUAACAGUAGGCUCCAAGGUGGGUUCACUGUCAAGGUGCAGCAAAUGUUUCCUGCAGCUUCACCAAAGGUUAUUCAAUGUUACCUAAAUAUUCUGUUAAAGCUUGUUUUCAUUUACAACAAUAACCUUAAGGGAACAUUUGCUAAGGAGGUGGGGCAAAUGUUCUCUAGACCGUCACUGAAUGUUUCUCCCAAACGUUCUGCUAAAGGUUGCGGUUGUAGAACCUUCAGAGAACAGAAGAACCUUCAAAUUUUUUUGGAAACAUUUGACAAAGCGGUGAAGUGCAGUAACACUAAAAUAAGCUAAUAAAAAUAAAACUUGCUCCUUGGA